RNAcentral lists this ribosomal RNA (393 nucleotides) under uncultured bacterium. RNAcentral's name for it is "partial 16S ribosomal RNA". It matches the Rfam family "Bacterial small subunit ribosomal RNA", at positions 523 to 918 of the family's 1533-position model. The record is from RNAcentral.
AUACGGAGGAUCCGAGCGUUAUCCGGAUUUAUUGGGUUUAAAGGGAGCGUAGGCGGACUAUUAAGUCAGCUGUGAAAGUUUGCGGCUCAACCGUAAAAUUGCAGUUGAUACUGGUCGUCUUGAGUGCAGUAGAGGUAGGCGGAAUUCGUGGUGUAGCGGUGAAAUGCUUAGAUAUCACGAAGAACUCCGAUUGCGAAGGCAGCUUACUGGACUGUAACUGAUGCUGAUGCUCGAAAGUGUGGGUAUCAAACAGGAUUAGAUACCCUGGUAGUCCACACAGUAAACGAUGAAUACUCGCUGUUUGCGAUAUACGGCAAGCGGCCAAGCGAAAGCAUUAAGUAUUCCACCUGGGGAGUACGCCGGCAACGGUGAAACUCAAAUGAAUUGGCGGGG